This 253-nucleotide ribosomal RNA is filed under the name uncultured bacterium. RNAcentral describes it as "partial 16S ribosomal RNA". It matches the Rfam family "Bacterial small subunit ribosomal RNA", at positions 524 to 776 of the family's 1533-position model. The record is from RNAcentral.
UACGUAGGGUGCGAGCGUUAAUCGGAAUUACUGGGCGUAAAGUGUGCGCAGGCGGCCGAGCAAGUCGAGUGUGAAAGCCCCGAGCUUAACUUGGGAAUUGCGCUCGAAACUACUUGGCUGGAGUGUGGCAGAGGAAGGUGGAAUUCCAGGUGUAGCGGUGAAAUACGUAGAGAUCUGGAGGAACACCGAUGGCGAAGGCAGCCUUCUGGGCCAACACUGACGCUCAUGCACGAAAGCGUGGGGAGCAAACAGG